RNAcentral lists this ribosomal RNA (512 nucleotides) under uncultured bacterium. RNAcentral describes it as "bacterial SSU rRNA". It matches the Rfam family "Bacterial small subunit ribosomal RNA", at positions 11 to 532 of the family's 1533-position model. The record is from RNAcentral.
GUUUGAUCCUGGCUCAGGAUGAACGCUAGCGGCAGGCUUAAUACAUGCAAGUCAAGGGGGUAGCAAUACAACCGGCGCACGGGUGAGUAACGCGUACACAACAUACCAUAUACUGGAGUAUAGCUUUGGGAAACUGAAGGUAAUCCUCCAUAACAUUGCGAGUAGGCAUCUAUUUGCAAUUAAAAGUUUCGACGGUAUAUGAUUGGUGUGCGUUUGAUUAGCUAGUUGGUAGGGUAACGGCCUACCAAGGCGACGAUCAAUAGCUGGCGUGAGAGCGCGACCAGCCACACUGGAACUGAGACACGGUCCAGACUCCUACGGGAGGCAGCAGUAGGGAAUAUUGGACAAUGGGCGAAAGCCUGAUCCAGCCAUGCCGCGUGAUAGAUGAAGGCCCUCUGGGGUUGUAAAUAUCUUUUAUCUGGGAAGAAACUCCUCUAUUCUUAGAGGCCUGACGGUACCAGAGGAAUAAGCACCGGCUAACUCCGUGCCAGCAGCCGCGGUAAUACGGAGGG